AGAGAGAGACAUGCGCGCAUAUCAAUAAGCGGAGGAAAAGAAACUAACAAGGAUUCCCCUAGUAACGGCGAGUGAAGCGGGAAGAGCUCAAAUUUGAAAUCUUAAAGGGUUUCCCUUUACGAAUUGUAGUUUAAAGAAGUGUUUUCUGUUGAGGUUUUGGUAAAAGUUCUUUGGAAUAGGACAUCAUAGAGGGUGAGAAUCCCGUAUUUGACCUUUACUUUCAACUUUGUGAUACACUUUCAAAGAGUCGGAUUGUUUGGGAAUGCAGUCCAAAAUGGGUGGUAAAUUUCAUCUAAAGCUAAAUAUUGGCGAGAGACCGAUAGCGAACAAGUACCGUGAGGGAAAGAUGAAAAGAACUUUGAAAAGAGAGUUAAACAGUACGUGAAAUUGUCAAAAGGGAAGCGUUUGACACCAGUGUUGUUUUUCUGAAAAUCAAUUAAAGAACUGUUUAUGCUAAGCUGUUUAGGACUUUAUCAGCUAUCUGUUUAGUUUUGAGCUUUUCUUUAAUGCACUUUUCAGUUAACAAGUCAACAUCAAUUUCUUUUGCUGUAAAAAAGCUUGAGGAAGGUGGCUUGAGAUUCGUCUUAAGUGUUUAUAGCCUCUUGCCUAUGCAGUCGGAGAGAUUGAGGUCUGCAGCGUAGAUCCUUCGGGGCUAAAUGCAUUUGUGCUAAGUUAUAGCAUUUUAUAGACAACUUGUUGACUAUGAUUUGUCUUGUAGCUUACUCGCUUAUGUUAUUUUACCUACGCUUAGAAUGUUGAGCGCAUGUCUCUCUCU
This 775-nucleotide ribosomal RNA is filed under the name uncultured Neocallimastigales. RNAcentral describes it as "partial large subunit ribosomal RNA". It matches the Rfam family "Eukaryotic large subunit ribosomal RNA", at positions 23 to 616 of the family's 3401-position model. Lineage: Eukaryota; Fungi; Neocallimastigomycota; Neocallimastigomycetes; Neocallimastigales. The record is from RNAcentral.